CUUGGUCAUUUAGAGGAAGUAAAAGUCGUAACAAGGUUUCCGUAGGUGAACCUGCGGAAGGAUCAUUACAGAGUUCAUGCCCUCACGGGUAGAUCUCCCACCCUUGAAUACUUAUACCUUUGUUGCUUUGGCGGGCCGCUUCGGCUACCGGCUUCGGCUGGUGAGUGCCCGCCAGAGGACCCAAAACUCUGAAUUAUAGUGUCGUCUGAGUACUAUAUAAUAGUUAAAACUUUCAACAACGGAUCUCUUGGUUCUGGCAUCGAUGAAGAACGCAGCGAAAUGCGAUAAGUAAUGUGAAUUGCAGAAUUCAGUGAAUCAUCGAAUCUUUGAACGCACAUUGCGCCCCUUGGUAUUCCGAGGGGCAUGCCUGUUCGAGCGUCAUUAUAACCCCUCAAGCUCAGCUUGGUGUUGGGGCCUGCUGCACUGGCAGCCCUUAAAAUCAGUGGCGGCGCCAUCUGGCUCUAAGCGUAGUAAUUCUUCUCGCUAUGGAGUCCUGGUGGAUGCUUGCCAUCAACCCCCAAUUUUUCUAUGGUUGACCUCGGAUCAGGUAGGGAUACCCGCUGAACUUAAGCAUAUCAAUAAGCGGAGGA
RNAcentral lists this unclassified non-coding RNA (590 nucleotides) under uncultured fungus. RNAcentral's name for it is "sequence contains ITS1, 5.8S rRNA gene and ITS2". The stretch from base 228 to 381 matches the Rfam family "5.8S ribosomal RNA". Lineage: Eukaryota; Fungi. The record is from RNAcentral.